RNAcentral lists this unclassified non-coding RNA (329 nucleotides) under soil metagenome. RNAcentral's name for it is "partial contains 5.8S ribosomal RNA, internal transcribed spacer 2, and large subunit ribosomal RNA". The stretch from base 1 to 120 matches the Rfam family "5.8S ribosomal RNA", at positions 35 to 154 of the family's 154-position model. The record is from RNAcentral.
GAUGAAGAACGCAGCGAAAUGCGAUAACUAAUGUGAAUUGCAGAAUUCCGUGAAUCAUCGAGUCUUUGAACGCACAUUGCGCCCCCUGGUAUUCCGGGGGGCAUGCCUGUCCGAGCGUCAUUACAACCCUCAAGCUCAGCUUGGUAUUGGGCCCCGCCGCUCCGGCGGGCCCUAAAGUCAGUGGCGGUGCCGUCCGGCUCCGAGCGUAGUAAUUCUUCUCGCUCUGGAGGCCCGGUCGUGUGCUCGCCAGCAACCCCCAAUUUUUUUCAGGUUGACCUCGGAUCAGGUAGGGAUACCCGCUGAACUUAAGCAUAUCAAUAAGCGGAGGA